This 503-nucleotide ribosomal RNA is filed under the name uncultured bacterium. RNAcentral's name for it is "partial 16S ribosomal RNA". It matches the Rfam family "Bacterial small subunit ribosomal RNA", at positions 28 to 507 of the family's 1533-position model. The record is from RNAcentral.
GACGAACGCUGGCGGCGUGCUUAACACAUGCAAGUCGAACGGUGAAGCGCUUUCCUUUUUGGUUGGUGUGGAUGAGUGGCGAACGGGUGAGUAACACGUGAGUAACCUGCCCCCUUCUUCUGGAUAACCGCAUGAAAGUGUGGCUAAUACGGGAUAUUCUGCGCCUGCUGCAUGGUGGGUGUGGGAAAGAUUGUGCCUUUGGGUGUUUUCGGUGGGGGAUGGGCUCGCGGCCUAUCAGCUUGUUGGUGGGGUGAUGGCCUACCAAGGCGGGUACGGGUAGCCGGCCUGAGAGGGUGGACGGUCACACUGGGACUGAGACACGGCCCAGACUCCUACGGGAGGCAGCAGUGGGGAAUAUUGCACAAUGGGCGCAAGCCUGAUGCAGCGACGCCGCGUGAGGGAUGGAGGCCUUCGGGUUGUGAACCUCUUUCGCCAGUGAAGCAGGCCUGCUCCUUGUGGGUGGGUUGACGGUAGCUGGAUAAGAAGCGCCGGCUAACUACGUG